RNAcentral lists this ribosomal RNA (327 nucleotides) under uncultured eukaryote. RNAcentral describes it as "partial 18S ribosomal RNA". It matches the Rfam family "Eukaryotic small subunit ribosomal RNA", at positions 1470 to 1796 of the family's 1831-position model. The record is from RNAcentral.
CCCUUAGAUGUUCUGGGCCGCACGCGCGCUACACUGACGAAUGCAACGAGCUUAUAACCUUGGCCGAAAGGUCUGGGUAAUCUCCAAAUUUCGUCGUGAUGGGGAUAGAUUAUUGCAAUUAUUUAUCUUCAACGAGGAAUGCCUAGUAAGCGCAAGUCAUCAGCUUGCGUUGAUUACGUCCCUGCCCUUUGUACACACCGCCCGUCGCUCCUACCGAUUGAAUGGUCCGGUGAAGCGUUCGGACCGUGGCCUUUGGACGGUUCGCCGUCUGUUGGCUGCGGGAAGUUCGUUAAACCUUAUCAUUUAGAGGAAGGAGAAGUCGUAACA